Molecule: ribosomal RNA, 268 nt
Filed under: uncultured bacterium
Lineage: Bacteria
Description: partial 16S ribosomal RNA
Rfam family: Bacterial small subunit ribosomal RNA
Source: RNAcentral
GUCCAUGCUGUGACUUUAUGAGUAUUAAGUAUUAAAUAAAAUUUGGUAUUUAAGCUAACGCGUAAAUACUCCGCCUGGGGACUACGACCGCAAGGUUGAAACUCAAAGGAAUUGACAGAGGUUAACUCGAGCAGUGGGACAUGUGGUUUAAUGCGAUAUAAAACGUCAAAUCUUACCAGUAAUUGCAUUUUAAAUAUGUAAAAAGAAAUUUUUAAAAAUUAAAAAUAAAUUUAAUAAAUUUAAAACAAGGUAACUGCAUGGCUGUCGU